UGAUUGAACCGCAUGGUUCAAUCAUAAAAGGUGGCUUUUAGCUACCACUUGCAGAUGGACCCGCGGCGCAUUAGCUAGUUGGUGAGGUAACGGCUCACCAAGGCGACGAUGCGUAGCCGACCUGAGAGGGUGAUCGGCCACACUGGGACUGAGACACGGCCCAGACUCCUACGGGAGGCAGCAGUAGGGAAUCUUCCGCAAUGGACGAAAGUCUGACGGAGCAACGCCGCGUGAGUGAUGAAGGUUUUCGGAUCGUAAAACUCUGUUGUUAGGGAAGAACAAGUACCGUUCGAAUAGGGCGGUACCUUGACGGUACCUAACCAGAAAGCCACGGCUAACUACGUGCCAGCAGCCGCGGUAAUACGUAGGUGGCAAGCGUUGUCCGGAAUUAUUGGGCAUAAAGCGCGCGCAGGCGGUUUCUUAAGUCUGAUGUGAAAGCCCCCGGCUCAACCGGGGAGGGUCAUUGGAAACUGGGGAACUUGAGUGCAGAAGAGGAGAGUGGAACUCCACGUGUAGCGGUGAAAUGCGUAGAGAUGUGGAGGAAC
This 545-nucleotide ribosomal RNA is filed under the name uncultured Bacilli bacterium. Its description in RNAcentral is "bacterial SSU rRNA". It matches the Rfam family "Bacterial small subunit ribosomal RNA", at positions 173 to 707 of the family's 1533-position model. The record is from RNAcentral. Lineage: Bacteria; Bacillati; Bacillota; Bacilli.